This is a long non-coding RNA of Neltuma alba, 469 nucleotides long. RefSeq lists it as uncharacterized. The transcript has 2 exons. Lineage: Eukaryota; Viridiplantae; Streptophyta; Magnoliopsida; Fabales; Fabaceae. The record is from RefSeq and is a predicted model, not a curated record.
UUUUGAAGAAGAAGAAGCAGCUUAGCUUUGUGAAGGAAGGAGUAGUAUGAGCUCUCGACCACAGGACUCCAAUAAUAUAAGAAAUGGCACAUCAGUUCCUGAUAAUAAGGGUAUCUUCAGCCCAAAUCAGGGAAACCCUACAGCAUCUGGCACUCAGACUCAGGGCUCCAACAUAAGAGGCGGCACUUCAAUCCCUAAGGGUCAAGAUGUCAGGUCCCCCCCUGGUCGAGCACCAUGACUCUCUUCAUUUCAUUUUCAGAUGAUCAUCAAGUGCCGGUCUUGAUAAAAGAAUAAGGGAAGCAAAAUAUUAUAGCGCAGUUCUAUCGUAAUUACAUAGCUAGGAAGAAUAAGAAUACUAUUAGAAAUAUUAUUCAACUUUUUUUUUUUGGUUUUGUUUUGCGUCUAGAAAUGAUUUGUUGUUCUUGUUGCUUCCCAUAAAUAAUAUACAAAGUCAAGUGUCUGAGUAGUU